GAUGUUGUUCUCGACUGAAAAGAGCCGUGUAUAACGACGACAUAACGUCGGGGUGGCAUCCGCACCGCUCGUGGCCGAGUCCAGGGUGCCUCCUUCGUGCCAGGCUGGGCACAGCUGUCGCUGACUCACGGGGCAGGGCCGACGUCGGUUUAGGGCUGCGGUUGUGGCAAAGGCCUGUGCUUGGCGGAUCUAUGCAGCCUUGGCUCCCUCCUGUCUUACUUGGGGCCUUUUCUCCCCGUGGCACGGUAGUAUGUGGGAUUAAUGCUGGUGUGAGGGGACUGGAGAGAAAGCAACCUCUUCUACUGUGGUUACACGUUGAAAGUAGCCAUCCCAGGCAUUCCAAACAUUCCUGCAUUGUUUAGGUAAUAUUUUAAAGUAGGAACAGUCAAAAUGAAGGCAAUCUGAAUAAACUUAAAAGUUGUGGCCCUCCAGCUCUGACUCUUAAUUAAGAGUUAUGAUGCUCAGCUUGCAGCUGGUAACACCUUGACCUAGCAUUAAAAAAGAGGGUAAGAAGUCCUUUUUUGCUCUUCCGAAGCAUAUAAAUUCAUUAAAUGGAGGGAAAAAUGCAAAAAGACCAGUAGCGGAAAUGGAGACACUGGUUAUCAUAUUUGGGACCCUAAGGUUCCUGAAGCAGAGAUGUAUUUGCCAGUUGUGUUUCCCAUAUUUAGCUUUCAAGUGAUAUACUUUCUCACUGUGUUAAUGCUUUUUUUCUUUAUAAAACCUAAAAAUACUGAACGUUUUUCAGGUAAGAAUUUGGAAAACUCACUUUCCUGCCCUCUUGGGAUUUCAGCCGUUAUGCUGUUUGAUAUUCCUUUGUUUUAUACCCCAUUUCUCUACCAGACGUCCAUCUGAAAGUCCACUGUGUCCAGAUGAAUGCCUGCUAAAAUAACUGCUGUAGUUAAACCUCACUGUAAACCAUAUAUACCUGUGUAUAGUGCUUUUAACUAAAAAACAGAAAACGUAAAAGCUGAAUUACUUAAGCCUUUUUUUUUU
RNAcentral lists this long non-coding RNA (993 nucleotides) under Struthio camelus australis. RNAcentral's name for it is "lncRNA (ENSSCUG00000011107.1)". The record is from RNAcentral. Lineage: Eukaryota; Metazoa; Chordata; Aves; Struthioniformes; Struthionidae.